AGAAUAAUGCCAGCAGUCAGCCAUGUUGUCAGCAUCAGGCCUGUGCUAGUGUUAUUGAAA
Molecule: microRNA precursor, 60 nt
Filed under: Tetraodon nigroviridis (spotted green pufferfish)
Lineage: Eukaryota; Metazoa; Chordata; Actinopteri; Tetraodontiformes; Tetraodontidae
Description: Tni-Mir-8160-P2_pre stem-loop
Source: RNAcentral